This is a long non-coding RNA of Ceratitis capitata (Mediterranean fruit fly), 490 nucleotides long. RefSeq lists it as uncharacterized. NCBI's taxonomy places the organism in Eukaryota, Metazoa, Arthropoda, Insecta, Diptera, Tephritidae. The transcript is spliced from 3 exons. The record is from RefSeq and is a predicted model, not a curated record.
ACAGACAACUAACUGUUAAACAUUUUUUUUCGAAUAGUUGGCUUAUAUAGAAGUUUUGUUGUUAAACAUACACACACACAUAGUCUGAAUAUUUACACAAUGUGUUGAUGAAAUUGUCAGUUAAUGAAAUGUCAAUGAGAACACAGGAGACAAUUAAAUAGAAAAAAAUUACAAAUACAAAAAGGAAGACACGUAUUGGGAAUAUUAGUGGGGUAGGCACUUUGAAUUGUACUUUUAAAGCCAACGACUGGUAGCGUCAUGUCUCUUCGCGGGUGAUAUUGUGUCGGCGACCUGAACCAAGAAAUCCUGUAUAAAAAUUAUGGUACCACCAGCCAAGUUUCCUUUUCUUUCAUCUUUACUUCUUUACAAUAACACACCUCGUUGGCAAUGUACCCUGAGUUAUUUAUGAUUCCACAUGAAUGGCAAAGACACCAUCAUCUUCGCUUGCUCGAAUGGAAAUGUUAGCACGACCAUCGGAGCCCACGACAAC